RNAcentral lists this microRNA (22 nucleotides) under Gossypium hirsutum (cotton). RNAcentral describes it as "ghr-miR2949a-5p". Lineage: Eukaryota; Viridiplantae; Streptophyta; Magnoliopsida; Malvales; Malvaceae. The record is from miRBase by way of RNAcentral.
ACUUUUGAACUGGAUUUGCCGA